GACGAACGCUGGCUGCGUGCUUAACACAUGCAAGUCGAACGCUGAAGCCCCAGCUUGCUGGGGUGGAUGAGUGGCGAACGGGUGAGUAACACGUGAGUAACCUGCCCCUGACUUCGGGAUAAGCCCGGGAAACUGGGUCUAAUACCGGAUACGACUAUCGGACGCAUGUCUGGUGGUGGAAAGUUUUUUCGGUUGGGGAUGGGCUCGCGGCCUAUCAGUUUGUUGGUGAGGUAAUGGCUCACCAAGACGACGACGGGUAGCCGGCCUGAGAGGGCGACCGGCCACACUGGGACUGAGACACGGCCCAGACUCCUACGGGAGGCAGCAGUGGGGAAUAUUGCACAAUGGGGGAAACCCUGAUGCAGCGACGCAGCGUGCGGGAUGACGGCCUUCGGGUUGUAAACCGCCUUCAGCAGGGAAGAAGCCUUCGGGUGACGGUACCUGCAGAAGAAGUACCGGCUAACUACGUG
RNAcentral lists this ribosomal RNA (470 nucleotides) under uncultured bacterium. RNAcentral's name for it is "partial 16S ribosomal RNA". It matches the Rfam family "Bacterial small subunit ribosomal RNA", at positions 28 to 507 of the family's 1533-position model. The record is from RNAcentral.